Molecule: ribosomal RNA, 253 nt
Filed under: uncultured Rhodospirillaceae bacterium
Lineage: Bacteria; Pseudomonadati; Pseudomonadota; Alphaproteobacteria; Rhodospirillales; Rhodospirillaceae
Description: partial 16S ribosomal RNA
Rfam family: Bacterial small subunit ribosomal RNA
Source: RNAcentral
GACGAAGGGGGCUAGCGUUGUUCGGAAUUACUGGGCGUAAAGCGAGUGUAGGCGGUUGCCGUAGUCAGGUGUGAAAGCCUUGAGCUCAACUCAAGAAAUGCACUUGAUACUGGGUGACUAGAGGACCGGAGAGGAUAGUGGAAUUCCCAGUGUAGUGGUGAAAUACGUAGAGAUUGGGAAGAACACCAGUGGCGAAGGCGGCUAUCUGGACGGUUACUGACGCUAAGACUCGAAAGCGUGGGGAGCAAACAGG